This is a long non-coding RNA of Corvus hawaiiensis (hawaiian crow), 8260 nucleotides long. RefSeq lists it as uncharacterized. The transcript has 3 exons. The record is from RefSeq and is a predicted model, not a curated record. NCBI's taxonomy places the organism in Eukaryota, Metazoa, Chordata, Aves, Passeriformes, Corvidae.
UAACCCAAACUGUUAUCCCUUUUUGGUCUGUACGUAGGCACUGCCCCACACAUGUGGAAAUCUCUUGGCUGCAGCAUAAACCCAGCCAGUUCCAUACAACACAGAGUCCUGCUCAUCCCAAUUGGAAGUAGCGAUUGCAACUCCUGCCUUUAAUGGUGCAGAAAGGUGAUUUCAAGUGCACUUCGUUACAGUUUUGACUACAGAAAUAAGUGAUAAUAAAGGUGUUCCUUGCAAGAAAACCUGUAACUGCUUGGAAGUCCAAAAAGGGAUCAUGUCUGCAAUGGGCCAUUGCUGCAUGGCAUGCUGCACAUUGGAAGCUGACUCAGCUUGAGAACAAGCAAUUUGCGAAGUGAACAGGCAUGAAACUGAAAGUUGUAAGUCGUGUGACCAAUAGCAAUAAACAAUUACUAAGUUACUUGAAAACUAGAAUAAUUUAUAUUUAAUUGAACCAAAGACUUCAAUGACAUUUAGAGCCCAGAGAAGUAUAUUUUAUCAGCUGGAAAACCCAGAGAUGAAUUUAUUCUCUCAGGUUAAUUUCCAUUUGCACAACUUGUUUUGCACAUCCACUUAAAAAUGACAUGUUUUUUCUUCAGGCCUUUUCUUGACCUAAGAUUAUUUAAAUGUUGGGAACACAACAAUCUUUGCUGUCUUCUAAGUUCAAAAUUCUCAGCCAGACAAGAAACAUCAUGGCCAGCAUGGAACCAGGACAGCCUCAGAGGGGAAAGGAAAAACAGUGAAAACAGGAUUUCCUACUUACUACCCAUAUGACAUGACCGAGUUCUUAAACCACUUAGUGCUUUAAGAUUCGAAUUUUGCUUUCAAUAGGCCGCAAAUUAUGUUUCCCAUGCUAACUAAAAAAUUUCUUUAAAAAUCACCCGAGCACUCAGACCUUAGCACUGCAGACCUGCAGCACUGGCCAAGGACUCUGUCUUUUGUUAUUCUGAGGAAGAAAAGGAUGAAGGGGAGAGUCAGUUUGCAGAGGCUAAUAUAUGGAAAAGUUUGAGUGGAGAUGAUUUUUUUAUCCAGCUUCACAGGAGAAUCCUAUGACUUGGGCUGUACCUUCACUACAGGCUGCCAAAAUCAGUGAGGAUGUAACAGAUGCAGUUCUGGGCAGAAAGGCAAAGUGCAAAAGUCAAACCGAUUAAGGACUGAAGGCCAAGGCAUCCGUUCUGCACAGUGCAGCAUAGCACUGUCCAGGAUCUACUCAGGAGAGCUGUUUGGUGGAUCAUUAGCUCUGAACAAUAAUCUUCUGUUCAGGAUCACUACAGUGGCCCAUUCCAUGUUCCUGAAUACGUCUUGAGUUUACCUAAGCAUACAGCUGUAGAAUAAGAUCCCAACUGUAGGAUAGAAUGAGGAAUGUGAACAUAAUUAGUUAGGCAUCAUUGACAUUUACCACUUCCAUUUUUAAUCUAAAUUUCUGUCUGCUGUUAUCACUUGUUUCUUGGAUGCCUGGUCAGACUCCAGAAUGUUGUUGUGCUCUAUAAAACUAAAAAAAAUUUAUAAUUCUUGCUUUAAUGGUCUAAUACAAUAGGACUGGAUAACAUAGUGGAAAACCUAUCUAUGGAACAAGAAAAUACAGAAGAUGAAAUUUAGUGUAGCAACAAAGCCUUGCAAAUAUCUGACAAAGCCCAAGUAACUGUUGCUUGUCCUGAAAUAAUAUGGAAAACCAGGAAACAGGUCAAAGAGAGUGAGUUUCCCCAGCAAAAAAUCCAUGUGAAAAUUCUUAGUUCGGCUCCUGCAUUCCUACUCUCAAGUUUCCACUCAUUUAAUGGUAUUUUAUGUUCCAACUUUCCUAGGAAAGCAAAAAUCCUGGCACAACCUUAACAAAAGCACUGGAGCCAGUCAACACUUGUGUGAGCUGUUUACUGUCUUCAUGCCAUGGAGAAGCAUGAGAGCCAGCUGGAGAGGUUGAGGCACUGCUUGUAGUGGUGGUGCUUCCUCUCGACGUUUGCCUUUGCUAUGGACAUGAACCUGACCUUGGAUAAUGCAGUCUGAAGACUAAAUAGGAGCUAUGUUACAGAAAGGUGCAAAUGAAACUCCACUCCAGGACAGCAUCAAAAGGGCAGCUUUCCUGCCCAGGACACCUCAUUUAUGGUGAACUUUUCUUAUUGCCUCUUGGCCCCUUUGUUAGAGCAGUCUGAAUGACCUGUUCAGUGGGCAAACUUUCCAGCAGAGGCAUGCACUAAUAGCAUUUGCUGGAUCACAAAAGCUUUGGGAUAAUUUAGUGGAUAUAUUUGCAGGGCCAGGGAGUCAGCUCCCAGGCAUUCUCACUCAUAAAUGAGAGCUCUCAGUUUUACAGAACUCAACUCACACCACAGUGUUUAACUAGCACCUCCCACUCAAAACAACGGAAAUUCUUCCUUCAUCACCCAGUCUCAGGAGAAGAAAAUGGGAUAUGAUAAUGGCCAGGAUUUUUAAAAUCUGGAUGUCAAUGUAUCUUUGGGUUAUUGUUUAUUUUUAUUGCAAUUGCUUGAGUAAGAGAGAAGAUACUGUUUUCCAAAACAAGACUUAGUGAGGAAUGGAAGAUCUGUAAUACCAUGGAAUUUAUACUACAGUGAUAAACUAUUUUAUUUGUUUUUCCUUAUUUUCAUUCUAUUUAUUCCAUGUCCACAGUGCAAGAAGCAUUGAACCAGCCAGACAAGAAACAUCAUGGCCAGCAUGGAACCAGGACAGCCUCAGAGGAGAAAGGAAAAAGAGUUACAAGAGAGAAUGAUGAAUAAAAACCAGGACAUAUGAAUAAGGUUAUUAGCCAAUAUACGAGAUUACUAGUGCAAAAUACAUAUCCAGGUGUGAAGCACUGUAAUUUAGUUUUACAGUCUACUUUCAGAUCAGCUAAUCUGUCGCUCAUUUAAAUUCACAAUUUUAGAAGAGACUUGUAGCACAUGUGGUGGUGCAUUCCUGCUAUCUCCUAGACUGCUCUGAGAUCUGAGGAAUUCUUGUUAGGCUUGGUCCUGGAUUAAUUGUACUGGGGUGAUGAAUCUCCCCUUCAACUUAUCAAAAACAUCUUAUCCUGGUCCAUAGCAGGAAAUUCUGUUACCUAACCAAGGAAGGGGACAAGAGAUAACUCUGAAAGCCUUGGAACAUUACUUGCUUGAAUCAUAGCCCAAGUGGAACAAUAUUAUUGUUACUGAAAUUUUGAGGAAAAUUACUGAUCUGGAUUGAGGCCAGGAUGGAGACUGACUGAUGACUAAAGCCAAGCAACUUGCAGCUCUAUGAACAACAGUCCCAAGUGAGGCCCUUUGAGCUCCCCUGGGCUGCAGUGGCUGCACCAGCAUCUUGCCCAGGGUCUCUUGGAGCUCACCAAUUCACAGGUUUGAAGACUCAGGACAGUCACUGAAAACUGAAAGUGGGGUUUUUGCUGGUACCCAGCUCCUUGAGGCUCAACCCUUCACCCACAGAGAUGCAAAGACAUUUGGCGUCAAUCUUAACAGACCUGUAAUGUCUAAUGAGAAACUUACUGGCUAAGAAGACUCACAUUGGAAAGCUCCAUCCUCAUACUCAUGAAAGGGUUUACAUGAACCUCGGUGAGAACCAGGCUAGCAGAACAGAUGAAGGAGAAAUGAGUAAGAGGUUCUAAGCAAAAUGACAACCACCUGAGGAAAGCUGGAGUACUGUUGUGUGAUCGAAGGUUUUGUUCUACACUUUGCACGGCUGUGUUAAAACAGAGCAGUAUUGCAAAAUUGACUUGGCUUAUCCUUUUCAAUGGUAUUCACAUUAAAAAAGGAACGGCACUGCAGGUUUUGUGCCAGACAAUGGGUGGUUUCAACAACAUGUAUUUCUCAUUCCUAAGUGACUGAUACUAUUUCCUGUUUUCUCUAAAAGACUGUGCAGCUUGCAGGUCUGUCCUAAGUAUCAAUAUGAAAAAUCAUGGAUAUUGUGCCACUUUCUAUCUAGCUUUUUCUCUUAUAUCUAGACAGAGAAUUUAAAUAUUUAUUCAAAGUUGGAACAUAAGCAUCUGAGCACAAAAGGAGAUCCAGUACCACAAGCAGGCAAACAGCUACCAAACCUCACUCAGCUUAUUACUUCUUUUGUUGCUCAUUACCAGAAAGUGGUAUCUGUAUGCAAACAGAUGUUUCUAAUCAGCCUCAUUCAGUCUCAUUUGCUACCUGUAAUUUACAGUCUCUAAUACCACACUCAAUUCUAUGCAAGUGUAACUCAUGGAACAAGAUUCAUGAAUAAUUGCCAGGGUACCUUCUUCUCCUUUUUUAUUCUGGACAAAAGUACUGAUAGCCCUCACUCCAACUAUAAAGCCACUUCCUCUGCAAGUGGUGAACAAACCAAUCAGAUUUAUUCAGAGCAAGAGAAAACACUAACUCCUGGUGUAGGUAAGUUGACUAACAGUGCCGCAUUUUGCUGCAAUUAGAUAAUCACAUCAGUUCGUGCAGAAAUGAGAAGGAGCUGUUUUGGCCAAACUCUGAAUUUUGGGGAACAUCUCUGCGUUGCUCCUUGCACACAUAGAUCUAGCACAAGAAUUUCUUCAAGACUCAACAGGUAAAGCUUCUUAUGUGUACUGUAUGUAUCACUGCAUAUAUCAGUUUCUUCUUUAGCUACUAUAAUAUUGCAGGAGGGUCUCUGACUGACUUGUACUCAAGGAGAAAAAGCCCAGGUGUAAAAACAGUCUGUAGGGGUAAUCAGAAUGACACAAAAAGAUGAAAAUGUCAAAUAAAUUUUUUGGUUGACAUACUGAAAUGAUGCCCCAAUGGAAAUUAUGGCCAGCUGAAAAACAUAUCCUGGAGUAAGAGCAGACUGAAGCAUCUGUAAAAAAGGACUCUAUCUUGUUGAUAGAAGUUCAGAUAAUGGUGGACAAUAACUCAGGAAGGACCAAAUUAACAAAAAAAUACCAAGGUGAUUGUUGAUCAUCAUUACUCUCUGAAGACAGCCUGCUCCUGCAUGCCGAAAAUUCCCACAAGGAUGCCAACAGGUAAAACUCUCCAUUUGUCUUAAAACUCAGUCUAACAUGUCUCAUCUCUUGAACAUCUAAGCCAUACUCUUCCAAAACCCGUAAUGCACAAUUCAAACUAGCAAUACAGUCCUAAACAGGAUUAUCUCUCUUUUGUCAGGCUUUCUUCCUCUGAAAGAUAAGCAUUUAAAUAGGUGGUGUCAUAUGUGCUUUUAAGAGGCAGGUAAUGAAACAACUUGCAAAGAGUUCCACUUCUUCUCUACUAGAAAGGCUUUAUACAAGUAAUGAGUGAAACAUUUGCAAACUAUUCAGUUUCCUAACAACUCAGUUCUCUAACAAAUGAAUCCUGGGUCUGAAACUAUGUGUUGUCUAAGAGCUUGUUAUUUCCAAAGUCUAAAAUAUACUUUUCUUGCUGGAAGAAUAACCCUCUCAGUGAUGUGGCCUACAGAGAGAAGGUGGAGUGAAUCAUUAAUCCCUAACUGAAAGAUACCUCCUGGAGUUGCUUCCCAGCUGACUUCUUACAAGAUCCGACUGUGGAUUCAAAUUUAUUAUUCUGAGCUAUUGGGCAGAAGAACACAGAUUGGUUUAGCUAGCAGCAAACUGCCAGACAACCAUUACACAUGUCCAACACAAGACCCUCAACACAAGAAAGAAUUGGACCUGUUGGAAUGAGUCCAGCAAAGGCACAAAGAUGAUCAGAGAGAUGGGGCACCUUCUCUAUGAAGACAGGCUGAGAGGGCUGCAUAUCUUACACCUGGAGAAGUCUUCAGGGAGAUCUUACAGGAUUUUCCAGUACCUAAAAGUGCCCUAUAGGAAAGCUGGAGAGGGACAUUUUACGUCAUGUAGUGACAGGACAAAGGAGAAUGGCUCCAAAUUUAGAGAGAAUAAGUUUAGAUUAGAUAUUAGGAAGAAAUUCUUUACCAUGAGGGUGGUGAGGCACUGGAACAGGCUGCCCGGAGAUGUUGUGGAUGCCUCAUUUCUGGAAGUGUUCAGGGCGAAAUUGGAUGAGGCUUUGAGAAACCUGGGAGGUGUCCCUGCCCAUGCCAGGGUGUUGAAACUAGCCAAUCUUUAAGUAUUUCCAACCCAAACCAUUCUAUAACUCUGUGAAAUGCUGAGACUCCAGGGCCUGAUGAAAAAAAUCAGGUCCACUUUGAAAAAGCAGACACAUUUUUGAGAAAUGGGACAUUCAGAUCCCACGGCAUCCAAGAACUGAUAGAGAAGCUGGAACCCUCUGCACCAUGCAGAAUCAGUUAUCAGUCCAGUGCUCAGGGCAGCCUGCACGAUUUCCUGCAAAGUCUCCACUUCGUGCCAGGAUCUGCUCCAGGAUUGUGAGCAGAUACCAGUCCUGCCUGUGACACUGGACCUGCCCAGAGGUGUUUGUGACACAUACUUUUUUUAUGCCUGGUUUUAAACCCGUGGUUUAUUUGUCUCCCGUUUAUGGAGCGCAGUGCAGUUGCUGCCAGAAGAAGGUGUUUUGCAUCUCCUCUUCUUUACAGCAAGAUAGGAAUGUGGUCUAGCAAGGUGCUAAGCCCUCAGGCUGGGAGCAAAAAAAUAUCAAACCAUUGUUCUGUCAAGGCAAACACCAGCCAUGGGAGUUAAAACUGCUAACUUUCAAGUUAGUACAUUUGGCAGAUGGCUUACCCAGGUCUAUAAUGUCAGUGUGGAUAUUGUAGAUUUUGUAUCUUUUUAAAAAGGGACCAGACUUUCAGUCAUGUCUGGCUGACUGCUGUGUGCACAUCUAAUGUUAAACAGCAUAGCGGCAGUGGGAAUACAAGAACAAUGGCAAUUAGUUAAUAUCAUUAGCUACUCGUUUUCACUUCUUUUGCUUUAAGAAUCUCAGGUUGCAGAGAAUGUGCUGAACCUGCAUUUUCAGUGAUCUAGAAGUGUUGCUGCAUGCCUAGUUUGUGCAAGAAUUUGUUGCAGUUUUCUCUUAUGCUGAAACACUUCUGUGAAAAUACUGCCGUGUAGCUAUUGAUAGAGAAAUACUCUAAUAUACUAAUGAAAUUACCAACUGUUUAAAAUUUGAGCCAAAUAUCCCAUUUCCCCAUGAAUGCUGUUAGUAGAAUAAACGUAGCUAUUAUUAAAGUGAAGAAUCUGUCUUGUAGUCAGUGUUAGGCUUAGGUAGAAUGCUGCUCCAACCAGUAAGCUCCUCUCCUCUCUUUGCCACUUACUGUUGCAUUCUGUGGUGCUACAUCCAACACACAGACCUGUUUUGGAAACAUCUUCUAAGAACUGAUCUCUUGUCUAACACUGGCAGUUCACCACUCUUUGUUGCUCGAAGCAAACUUUCAGCCUACCAAGCACAGAUUGUAGAGAAGUUUGUGGUUUAUUCCAGUCUUUGAUUUGCUGAUUGGUCCUGUUUAUCAUAAACCGCAAGGGGUUGUGAACUGCCAUGCACUGAAGAUCCUCCUUUCUAUUACUACAGCAUCCAAAAAAGGGUGGCUUCAAAAGCCUCCUGUAAGGUGUAAUCCACAGUCUAAGGCAUUUCUACUCUGCUGCUGAAGAAAAUAUAGCCAUAAAUGUUUAAUGGGUUUAGGUAAAGUCUGACCACUAUAGAGGAAAGUAUAUAAGGGCUUUACAUACUUCUGUAUAUAGGUGUGUUCAUGCUCAAUAAUAUUUCUGAUUCAGCCUCCUAUUUAGUACCAUUUCAUUAACUGAUCUCUGGACUCCAGUGUAAGGGAAGAUAACAGCUCCACUGAAGGCACCCACAAGAGUUUUUUAUAUGUUGAAGGGCCACGUAAUGUUGUUCUGUAAUCACCAUCACGUAUUAAAAAAAAAAUAUCAGAAGCCGGAAACAGAAGGAAACAGGAAAAAGGCAGGGAAAUUGUACCAGCACAACCAAUACUCAUCCUUAGUAAGGAGUGUGUAGGUGAUGGAGAGGAAAUGAAAAAUGUUUUGCAGAGCUUCCAGUGCCAGCUGAGCAGGUACAUAUAAAUGUCACUGUAUUUCUUUGCCUCAAAGAUAUUCUCUGUUCAUUGAAAAUGUAAAAGUACCUCUGCUGAUUUAGACAAUGCAAAUGUUUUGCCUUGUAUAGUUAAUAUUUUUAAUAAAAGAACAGAGGUUUUGUGUAACAGUGGUAAAAGCCAACAAACAUGCUGCCAUAAGUUUUUUUUUCAAAAAAGGUAGAGGGGUGGGGAAACCACUGUUCAUGCCCAGAGCAAGUCCAUCAUAUAAGAUGAAGAAGGUUAAUGGUUAUGAGGAAAAAACUCAUCUGAUGGUGACAGACAAAGCUGAAAUAUACUUCUGUACAGGGCCAAAGGAAAGGUCAGUGGUGGGCAGACCACACUUCUAAUGGCAAUUUACAUGGGCAGAUAGUGAUAGGAGAAGGGGAAAUGGUUUCAAGCUUAAAAAAUAAUUUUA